GCGGUGCCGGGUGGAGGUGGGGGAUGUUGGCACGCGCUCCGUUACCUGCUUCUCGCUGGUUCCUGCUGGUUCUCUGUGACAGCGGAGCGCGAGCUUUUCCUCUUAACGGGGCUGUCUCCAGACUUCUCUUUCUGGAACCAAGUCCCAGUCGCCCUCAGGUGGGACUCCAACCUAUGACCCCAAGAUUGAAGGUUGCAUGUUCUUCCAACUGAGCCAACCAGCCCUUUGCAGAGCAAACAAAAAGAGACAGACCUGCGUUCCCAAAGAGAAGCAGCCUGCUUUACAAUCCCAGCAGAGGAAGAAAGAUUUUCCCCCAGCCCAGCAACAGCCUAGCCAAUGAGAGACUGUCACACACAACUCAACCAAUGAAAAGCCACUACACUUUCGACUCCCGGUUUACUCCAAUGGACUUUUUGUUUACAACAGCUCCUCCCAAGUCCCCCACCCCCCUUUUCUCUAUGAAAGAGCCAACUUCUCCUUUGUGCUUUGGACUUGUUUGUGGUUUUGCUGUAGCUUGCGUGGCUUGAAUUGUAAUUCUCUGCUGCUCCCGAAUAAAUCAGUUUUUGUGGUAAAAUAAUUAACAGUUUUAUUUUUAAGGUUAACACAAGCCGGAGCUUCUAAUAAGUAUCAAGUGUCUGUGAGUUACUGAACCUAGUAAAACAAAGAAGCUCAUCCGGAUAUUGACUUGAAUUAUAGAAGAAGCCUAGAUUCUUUGGAUUUACACUUAAUAUUCAGGCAAAAAUAAGCGGGGACUUUGGAACAUCCCUGGAGCACGACGAUCCAGGUAUGCUGUUGGUUUUCCCAUGCGAGGUGAAGAGGUAUUUGGGAGUUAGAUAAAGGGGUCUGCUGAAGAAAGCAGAGCGUAUCAACAAUGGCGAAAUGAAUAGUGUCAGAGGGUAUAGGAGCAAAGAGAGUGUUGCGAUUUGGGAAAAAAACAAUAUGCAUUUUACAAUUUUAUUUAUGGCUCACAGUUCUUGGACAAACUGGUAACCCCUUCCGUUAGGUUUCUUUAUGGGUAGGAUAGAUGUGCUGCAGGGGCUCCAUGUGGAGAUCAGAAGCCCUUUGUCAAGUAAUAUAUGAGUAAUAGGUCCGAGACCAUAAAUUACCUCAUUUUU
Molecule: long non-coding RNA, 1115 nt
Organism: Felis catus (domestic cat)
Lineage: Eukaryota; Metazoa; Chordata; Mammalia; Carnivora; Felidae
Exons: 3
Source: RefSeq, a predicted model, not a curated record